Molecule: long non-coding RNA, 420 nt
Filed under: Androctonus crassicauda
Lineage: Eukaryota; Metazoa; Arthropoda; Arachnida; Scorpiones; Buthidae
Source: RNAcentral
GGGCAGCUUAAAUAUGAUGAAAUGUUUAGUGAUAGAUUCAUUGAUUUUGGCUAUGCAUAAAAUUGAAUAAUUGAGAGGAAUGAACUCAACGCAUUAUCUCAUAAAUUAGAAAUGGCAAAAGCCAAGGAAAGCGUUCAAAUUAUCCCAGGAGAGGCGUAUGAAUCGGAUGAAGAUGUCGAAGUCUCACACUUCAUGUCUCCUCCAGAUAUAAGAAAGAAACCACUGUUUUUACAAGGAAUUGUGGUUUCGGGUGAAGCAUCAGAAUCAGAUGAAGAGAUAUGUUCAGGUCCAACCAGUGCUUCUUAUGCCACAGGUAAAAUAUUGUAAAUAAAUCAAAUUUUUUCAAUCAGUUAAUUUAAUAUAAAUUUAUGUAAAAUUAAAGAACUUUCUCCUCUUCAAUUUUAUAUCUUCAGAUAAAUU